Molecule: long non-coding RNA, 1049 nt
Filed under: Dicentrarchus labrax (European seabass)
Lineage: Eukaryota; Metazoa; Chordata; Actinopteri; Moronidae
Description: lncRNA (ENSDLAG00005034579.1)
Source: RNAcentral
AGCGCCGUGACGGUGGUGAGGCGUCAGAUUUCGGCCGGGCGCAGUAUCUCUGCAGCGGCAGCUCGCUGUCUGUUCGCUUCUCGCUCAUUCGACACACUGAUCUGCGCCUGGCAGAGGAAGCAGGUCCUCUUCCGGUGGAGUCCGCCAUGUUUGUACAGUAGCCCAGAGUGGACAAAAACACUGGAUCUAGAGCGACUUUCAUGUUUUUCACAAGUCCUGCAACCAGUUUCUCUUCCACAGCCCGAUCUCAUUCCCAGACGGGAGGAGGUUGUUGACAGAUGGAUGUCAAGGUUCUGUUCGUAACCUCGGGCCGUGGAUGCUGCUGACGCUGCCUUAUACCAGCUGCCACUUGGCAUUAUGGGUUUCAAAUGGAACCUGGUUUCGUCAGCUGAGACUUCGUUACUUUGACCAUCUGCUGCAGGCAAACGUAACUGGUCUGGCCACCUGUGAGAAUCCUGCAACAUCCCUGCAACUGAUGCCACCGUUGGUGACUUGCAGAACAACAGAUGUCACUGUGAAACUGCCUCUUGGAACGUCGGGCGCCCGUGGUGGUGGUCGCCGUGGGGGUCGUCGUCGGGGCAUCAGACGUGUCAGCCAGUGGUGGGGGCGCCCGUGGUGGUGGUCGUCGUCGUGGCGCCCGUGGUGCUGCUGGUGGUGGUCGUCGUCGCCGGGGCGCCCGUGGUGCUGCUGGUGGUCGUCGUCGGGGCGCAAGUGGUGGUGGUGGUGGUGGUGGUCGUCGUCGUCGCGCAAGUGGUGGUGGUGCUGGUACUGGUGGUAGUCGUCGGGGCACCAGGGGUGUCGAUUCCGGUAUACGGCCCUUCAGAAAUUUCAUCAAAUCCCCACAACUCAAAGAUUUCUGUGUCAGCAUCAGUCACUUCGUCAUUCCGGAACCCACUGGGCUCCGUCGGUUCCUGGAUGACGGGCUCCACUAGAACUUGCUCAAAGUCCCAAAGCUCCCACAGGUUGGGGUUUUGGAGAGCUCUUGGGUGUCGAUCCCGCCUAGUUUGUGUUGCUGCAGUGGAACAAGCUGCCAGCAUCGUGGAUGUUUU